UUAAAAGAAUAUUGGCAGAAAAACAGCCCUAGAGUUCCAGCAGGAGCAAACAGGAACAGGAAAACAAAUGACAGUAUCCCUGAGACAGCCACUUCUGGUGGUUGCCAGUCACCUGCGGAUUCAGCAACAGGUUUCCACAGGGAAGGCCCUACAUCAUCUGCUACCCUGAAAGAUCUGGAGGUAAGAGGCUCUGGGCGAAGGUGCAGUGACCCUUCGGGUCAACCCCCCAACCUCCUCCUUCAGGUGGGACUGGGUGCCCCUCUGCCAGCUGAGACAGCCCACACACUCCAGCCCUAAUGAUUGUUCUCUCUACCUCUCCCCCCACUCCUGCUCCACCUCCUCCUCUCGGCAUGCGCCUCA
This 360-nucleotide small RNA is filed under the name Pan troglodytes (chimpanzee). Its description in RNAcentral is "retained intron". The record is from RNAcentral. Lineage: Eukaryota; Metazoa; Chordata; Mammalia; Primates; Hominidae.